This 753-nucleotide ribosomal RNA is filed under the name cyanobacterium enrichment culture clone 5_RT_5.2.5_C06-T7. RNAcentral's name for it is "bacterial SSU rRNA". It matches the Rfam family "Bacterial small subunit ribosomal RNA", at positions 8 to 803 of the family's 1533-position model. Lineage: Bacteria; Bacillati; Cyanobacteriota. The record is from RNAcentral.
AGAGUUUGAUCCUGGCUCAGGAUGAACGCUGGCGGUCUGCUUAACACAUGCAGGUCGAACGGGAUCCUUCGGGAUUUAGUGGCGGACGGGUGAGUAACGCGUGAGAAUCUGCCCUUAGGUUGGGGACAACAGUUGGAAACGACUGCUAAUACCCAAUGUGCCGAGAGGUGAAAGGUUAACUGCCUGGGGAUGAGCUCGCGUCUGAUUAGCUAGUUGGAGUGGUAACGGCACACCAAGGCGACGAUCAGUAGCUGGUCUGAGAGGAUGAUCAGCCACACUGGGACUGAGACACGGCCCAGACUCCUACGGGAGGCAGCAGUGGGGAAUUUUCCGCAAUGGGCGAAAGCCUGACGGAGCAAGACCGCAUGAGGGAGGAAGGCCUAUUGGUUGUAAACCUCUUUUGAUAGGGAAGAACACAAUGACGGUACCUAUCGAAUCGGCAUCGGCUAACUCCGUGCCAGCAGCCGCGGUAAUACGGGGGAUGCAAGCGUUAUCCGGAAUGAUUGGGCGUAAAGAGUCCGUAGGUAGUCAAUCAAGUCUGCUGUUAAAGAGCGAGGCUUAACUUCGUAAAGGCAGUGGAAACUGAUAGACUAGAGUGUAGUAGGGGCAGAGGGAAUUCCUGGUGUAGCGGUGAAAUGCGUAGAGAUCAGGAAGAACACCGGUGGCGAAGGCGCUCUGCUGGGCUAUAACUGACACUGAGGGACGAAAGCUAGGGGAGCGAAUGGGAUUAGAUACCCCAGUAGUCCUAGCGGU